Acanthopagrus latus (yellowfin seabream) is the source of this 592-nucleotide long non-coding RNA. RefSeq lists it as uncharacterized. The record is from RefSeq and is a predicted model, not a curated record. The transcript is spliced from 3 exons. Lineage: Eukaryota; Metazoa; Chordata; Actinopteri; Spariformes; Sparidae.
CAACUGCAUGACCUGAAGGAGUUGUCAACAGAAGACUUUCCUGCUGCUUCAGGCUCGUCUCCAGGGUUCGUCUCGUCUUGUCCGUCAUGACCGCUCGUCCAUCACCUGCAGGAAGAUAAAGAGGAGCAGUGACAAACAGAAAAAGAGGGAAAGAGACUAGUGUCCCACCAGUGACACUGUACUGGUUUCUGCCAACCAAAACUGUCGGUAUUCAACGACCUGUGUCUCUCCUCUCUGGGUCUGAUCACCAUACAGGUCACAGCUGUUCCACCUGAAGCUGAAGACAAGUCCCACUGUUCACCUGGAGAGAGGAGGAGGUACUUUAAUAUAACAUGACCACUACAUGCUCAGACAUUGUUAAACAACUCAUGGACCCUGCUUCUAAAUCAGUAAUUCCACAAAACAGGAACAGAUAAUGUAGGUAAUGGAAGCCCUGGUCCCCCCACCAAAAAACUGUCUAUUUCAAAUAUAGUGGAAGCUUUGACAACGCCACUGAGAGGAGACGCUGGACUCCAUCAAAAGACUUCUUUAAAAAUCGGGUGAGCAGGAUUAAAACCACAACAGUGUAAUUCAAAAAAAGGGUUUCUUACGU